RNAcentral lists this ribosomal RNA (600 nucleotides) under uncultured bacterium. RNAcentral's name for it is "bacterial SSU rRNA". It matches the Rfam family "Bacterial small subunit ribosomal RNA", at positions 888 to 1482 of the family's 1533-position model. The record is from RNAcentral.
GCAAGGCUGAAACUCAAAGAAAUUGACGGGGGCUCACACAAGCGGUGGAGGAUGUGGCUUAAUUCGAGGCUACGCGAAGAACCUUAUCCUAGUCUUGACAUGCUUGGAUUAACCCUGUGAAAGCAGGGCCACGCCUUCGGGUGGAACAAGCACAGGUGCUGCAUGGCUGUCGUCAGCUCGUGUCGUGAGAUGUCGCGUUAAGUCGCUUAACGAGCGAAACCCUUGUCACUAGUUGCCAGCACGUAAUGGUGGGGACUCUAGUGAGACCGCCGGCGUUAAGCCGGAGGAAGGUGGGGAUGACGUCAAGUCCUCAUGGCCCUUAUGACUAGGGCUGCACACGUCCUACAAUGGAGCGCACAAAGGGAUGCAAAGCCGCGAGGUCGAGCAAAUCCCAAAAAACGCUCCCUAGUUCGGAUUGCAGGCUGCAACUCGCCUGCAUGAAGCUGGAAUCGCUAGUAAUCGCGGGUCAGCAUACCGCGGUGAACGUGUUCCUGAGCCUUGUACACACCGCCCGUCAAGCCACGAAAGUGGGGGGCAUCCGAAGUCGCUGAGGUAACCGCAAGGAGCCAGGCGCCUAAGAUGAACUCUGCGAUUGGGACU